Molecule: long non-coding RNA, 863 nt
Filed under: Oryctolagus cuniculus (rabbit)
Lineage: Eukaryota; Metazoa; Chordata; Mammalia; Lagomorpha; Leporidae
Description: lncRNA (ENSOCUG00000031956.1)
Source: RNAcentral
UUCGGCUCCCAGGCACCCCAGACGCAACCACGCCGCGGCCGCCACUACUGGGCGCUGGGGCCAGCCCUGCCCCUAAGCAGCUGCAAUACCACGGUCGCCGCCGCCGCCGCCGCCCUCAGGGCGGUGUUUAGCACGGAGGGAACGUGGGUGCCUAUCUCUUUAAGAGGGCCUCACCACACGUGAUUCAUCAAAGUGCCCGCAGUCGGCCGCCCGGGCGGGCGCCUAAAGCUGCUUCCUAGUCGUACUCGCCUUGGAGUGGCCCCCGCUACUGAGCAUGCCCGGCGCGGCGACCGGCGCCUAACAGAAGACUCUCAGCCGCCGUGAAGCACUGAUUUCACUUCCUACUAGCCUCGCGUGCAAUGGGAGGGAACUCAAGAAAGAGAGGGGUAGCCCAUUUUAGAGGUGUGCAUUCUCCUACGGAGAUAAACUACCCGAGGACAGCAGAGAAGGGGAAUACUUGCUUCCAGACAGGGUAGACAAGGAGCCCCAAGGUAACUUUUCACUGUUGAAGUUCCUGUUUGACUUAAAGUUUGAUGUAUAUUUUAGACUCGGCUCACUACACAUACACACGGUUUAUAUACAUGUCUCCCUUCCUGAAAUACUGAGUAAAAAUGGAUGCUGCAGAAGACAUGACCUAUUUAUCCAGUGGCUUCAUGUAAUGGCUAUUUGACAGAAGGAGGUGUGGGCCAUUGUGGGGGCGCUCUCCAAGCUCAAACAUUGCUUUAUGAUAUACUUCAUAGACAUUUCUGGAGCACUUUAGAAUAUACCAUAUGACACACAGAGGACUGUCGUAUCCUCAGGUUAGGCUUAGCUACAUUUGGCGUCCAACUUGAGGUAAAUAAAGACCAGUCAUCUUUUCUGCA